RNAcentral lists this ribosomal RNA (253 nucleotides) under uncultured bacterium. Its description in RNAcentral is "partial 16S ribosomal RNA". It matches the Rfam family "Bacterial small subunit ribosomal RNA", at positions 524 to 776 of the family's 1533-position model. The record is from RNAcentral.
UACAGGGGGUGCAAACGUUGCUCGGAAUUAUUGGGCGUAAAGCGCGCGUAGGCGGCCACUUAAGUCGGAUGUGAAAGCCCCUGGCUCAACUGGGGAAGUGCACCCGAAACUGAAUGGCUUGAGUGCGAAAGAGGGUCGCGGAAUUCCCGGUGUAGAGGUGAAAUUCGUAGAUAUCGGGAGGAACACCGGUGGCGAAGGCGGCGACCUGGGUCGACACUGACGCUGAGGCGCGAAAGCGUGGAGAGCAAACAGG